GAACGCUAGCGGCAGGCUUAACACAUGCAAGUCGAGGGGCAGCGCGGGGCAGCAAUGUUCUGGCGGCGACCGGCGGAAGGGUGCGUAACGCGUGAGCGACAUGCCCGUUGCCCGGGGACAACCGGUGGAAACGCCGACUAAUCCCCGAUGGGACGGAGGCCCUCAUGGGUCUCCGUUGAAAGUUACGGCGGCGACGGAUUGGCUCGCGUCCGAUUAGCUUGUUGGCGGGGUAACGGCCCACCAAGGCUACGAUCGGUAGGGGUUCUGAGAGGAAGGUCCCCCACAAUGGAACUGAGACACGGUCCAUACUCCUACGGGAGGCAGCAGUGAGGAAUAUUGGUCAAUGGGCGGAAGCCUGAACCAGCCAUGCCGCGUGCGGGAAGGAGGCCCUAUGGGCUGUGAACCGCUUUUGCCUGGGGGCAAUAAGGGCGUCGUGCACGUCCGAUGAGAGUACCAGGCGAAUAAGCAUCGGCUAACUCCGUGCCAGCAGCCGCGGUAAUACGGGGGAUGCGAGCGUUAUCCGGAUUCAUUGGGUUUAAAGGGUGCGUAGGCUGUGCGUCAAGUCAGGGGUGAAAUUCCGGGGCUCAACUCCGGGGCUGCCCUUGAUACUGUCGCGCUGGAGUGCGGAUGCCGCCGGAGGAAUGAGUGGUGUAGCGGUGAAAUGCUUAGAUAUCACUCAGAACACCGAUUGCGAAGGCAUCUGGCGAAUCCGUAACUGACGCUGAGGCACGAAAGCGUGGGGAUAGAACAGGAUUAGAUACCCUGGUAUUCCACGCCGUAAACGAUGAUGGCUAACCGCCGGCGACACACUGUCGGUGGCCAAGCGAAAGCGAUAAGCCAUCCACCUGGGGAGUACGUCGGCAACGAUGCAACUCAAAUGAAUUGACGG
RNAcentral lists this ribosomal RNA (889 nucleotides) under uncultured Bacteroidota bacterium. Its description in RNAcentral is "bacterial SSU rRNA". It matches the Rfam family "Bacterial small subunit ribosomal RNA", at positions 31 to 916 of the family's 1533-position model. The record is from RNAcentral. Lineage: Bacteria; Pseudomonadati; Bacteroidota. RNAcentral also lists the same sequence under 1 other name.